UGUCGAUGAAGAGUGCAGUCAACUGUGUGAAUUAAUGUGACCUGCAUACUGCUUUGAACAUCGACCUCUUGAACGCACAUUGCGGCCACGGGUUAGCCCGUGGCCACGCCUGUCCGAGGGUCGGCU
Molecule: ribosomal RNA, 126 nt
Filed under: Ogmocotyle sikae
Lineage: Eukaryota; Metazoa; Platyhelminthes; Trematoda; Plagiorchiida; Notocotylidae
Description: partial 5.8S ribosomal RNA
Rfam family: 5.8S ribosomal RNA
About the family: 5.8S ribosomal RNA (5.8S rRNA) is a component of the large subunit of the eukaryotic ribosome. It is transcribed by RNA polymerase I as part of the 45S precursor that also contains 18S and 28S rRNA.
Source: RNAcentral